UGCGCAGGCGGCAUAGUAAGUCAGUGGUGAAAGCCCGGAGCUCAACUCCGGAACUGCCAUUGAUACUGCUAAGCUUGAGUACGGUUGAAGUGGGCGGAAUGUGACAUGUAGCGGUGAAAUGCUUAGAUAUGUCACAGAACACCAAUUGCGAAGGCAGCUUACUAAACCGUUACUGACGCUGAGGCACGAAAGCGUGGGUAGCGAACAGGAUUAGAUACCCUGGUAGUCC
RNAcentral lists this ribosomal RNA (229 nucleotides) under uncultured bacterium. Its description in RNAcentral is "partial 16S ribosomal RNA". It matches the Rfam family "Bacterial small subunit ribosomal RNA", at positions 568 to 796 of the family's 1533-position model. The record is from RNAcentral.